Molecule: long non-coding RNA, 878 nt
Filed under: Panax ginseng (ginseng)
Lineage: Eukaryota; Viridiplantae; Streptophyta; Magnoliopsida; Apiales; Araliaceae
Description: long non-coding RNA (PGIN_LNC015186)
Source: RNAcentral
CAUUAAAUGACUUUCAUGCAAAUCAAGUCACAUGGUUCAGUAUCCUUUACGCGGCAAUUUACCAGCUUAGUCACGCGGCAAAGAUUUUUACACGGCAAUGGCAGAUUUUUAGAUUUUUUUAUAAUUAUAUUGUAAUUAGAAUUUCUUUUCCAAAUUAACUUCUAUUUCCUUAUAGCAAUUAGGGUUAUAGCUUAUAAAUUCCUAUUAGGAUUUGGAUUAUUUUGAGUAGUAUAAAUAGAGGUUCAAGUUAUGUAAUCAAACACAAUAUACAUUAUUCAUUAUUCAAUAUAUUUGUAAGGUUAUUCUCUACUUUUGGUUCUUUGAAGAAUUCCUAAGUAUUUUUCUUAGUUAUUUCUUUGAGAUUCAAUUUGACUUAUCAUACAACAAUUCAUAGUUGUGUGUAGCGUCUUCUACCGCAUCAAUCGUCGAUUGUACCGAGAUUACCGCUUCAAUAUAAGCGAGGGGUCAAGAUGUCAUUGGUGUCCAUUCAACGCAGAAUUCUGAACGCGAGCAAUUGUACCAAGAUUACCGUCUACAUAUAGGCGAGGGGUUAAGAUGUUACAAGCAAUUCACCCAACAACUAUGCUAGAAACGAUCGAAGCGACGACCACCUCACGCAAACGGGUCGUGGAGUCUAUCAUUCAAAUGAUCGGGGCGACGACCACCUCCACGACCCGCUUAAAAUCUGCCAUUGCCGUGUAAAAAUCUUUGCCGCGUGACUAAGCUGGUAAAUUGCCGCGUAAAGGAUACUGAACCAUGUGACUUAAUUUGCAUAAAAGUCAUUUAAUGUAAUUAUUAAUCCAUGUAGUCACUUUGCAUGCCAGAACCCCUUAUAUAUAUCUCUGUUGAAUUUAUCCACAUGUGAAUUGAAAACUUGC